Molecule: ribosomal RNA, 1317 nt
Filed under: metagenome
Description: bacterial LSU rRNA
Rfam family: Bacterial large subunit ribosomal RNA
Source: RNAcentral
UCCGUGAGCUGUGCGUCAAGAAAAGCCGCUAUUGUUCAUACCAUACCCGUACCGUAAACCGACACAGGUGGAUGAGGAGAGAAUCCUAAGGCCGGCGGAAGAAGCAUUGUCAAGGAACUCGGCAAAAUGACCCCGUAACUUCGGGAGAAGGGGUGCCUGCGAGAGCAGGCCGCAGAGAAUAGGCUCAAGCAACUGUUUAGCAAAAACACAGGUCUAUGCGAAACCGAAAGGUGAGGUAUAUGGGCUGACGCCUGCCCGGUGCUGGAAGGUUAAGAGGAGAGGUUAGCGGUAACGCGAAGCUUUGAAUUUAAGCCCCAGUAAACGGCGGCCGUAACGAUAACGGUCCUAAGGUAGCGAAAUUCCUUGUCGGGUAAGUUCCGACCCGCACGAAAGGCGUAAUGAUUUGAGCGCUGUCUCGACAAUGCAUCCGGUGAAAUUGAAGUACCAGUGAAGAUGCUGGUUACCUGCGCCAGGACGGAAAGACCCCAUGGAGCUUUACUCCAGUUUGGUACUGGGAUCCGGUACUGCAUGUACAGGAUAGGUGGGAGGCUAUGAAUCGGUAACGCCAGUUGCCGAGGAGCCGCUGUUGGGAUACCACCCUUGCAGUAUUGGGUUUCUAACCAGCCGCCGUGACCCGGCGGUGGGACAAUGCCAGACGGGGAGUUUGACUGGGGCGGUCGCCUCCGAAAGGGUAUCGGAGGCGCCCAAAGGUUCCCUCAGGAUGGACGGAAACCAUCCAAAGAGUGCAAAGGCAGAAGGGAGCUUGACUGCGACACCGACGGGUGGAGCAGGUACGAAAGUAGGGCUUAGUGAUCCGGUGGUAUUAAGUGGGAAUGCCAUCGUUCAACGGAUAAAAGCUACCCUGGGAUAACAGGCUUAUCACUCCCAAGAGUUCACAUCGACGGAGUGGUUUGGCACCUCGAUGUCGGCUCAUCGCAUCCUGGGGCUGUAGUAGGUCCCAAGGGUUGGGCUGUUCGCCCAUUAAAGCGGUACGCGAGCUGGGUUCAGAACGUCGUGAGACAGUUCGGUCCCUAUCCGGCGUGGGCGUAGGAUAUCUGAGAGGAGCUGUCCUUAGUACGAGAGGACCGGGAUGGACGGGCCGCUGGUGCACCGGUUAGACUGCCAAGUCUAUAGCCGGGUAGCCAAGCCCGGAAGGGAUAAACGCUGAAGGCAUCUAAGCGUGAAGCCCCCCUCAAGAUGAGAUAUCCCAUCCGAAAGGAGUAAUCCCCCUUGAAGACGACGAGGUUGAUAGGGCAGAGGUGGAAGUGUGGUAACACAUGGAGCUGACUGCUACUAAUAGGGUGAGGGCUUGACCUA